GACGAACGCUUUCGGCGUGCUUAACACAUGCAAGUCGAACGGAAAGGCCCUGCUUUUGUGGGGUGCUCGAGUGGCGAACGGGUGAGUAACACGUGAGUAACCUGCCCUUGACUUUGGGAUAACUUCAGGAAACUGGGGCUAAUACCGGAUAGGAGCUCCUGCUGCAUGGUGGGGGUUGGAAAGUUUCGGCGGUUGGGGAUGGACUCGCGGCUUAUCAGCUUGUUGGUGGGGUAGUGGCUUACCAAGGCUUUGACGGGUAGCCGGCCUGAGAGGGUGACCGGCCACAUUGGGACUGAGAUACGGCCCAGACUCCUACGGGAGGCAGCAGUGGGGAAUAUUGCACAAUGGGCGGAAGCCUGAUGCAGCAACGCCGCGUGCGGGAUGACGGCCUUCGGGUUGUAAACCGCUUUCGCCUGUGACGAAGCGUGAGUGACGGUAAUGGGUAAAGAAGCACCGGCUAACUACGUGCCAGCAGCCGCGGUGAUACGUAGGGUGCGAGCGUUGUCCGGAUUUAUUGGGCGUAAAGGGCUCGUAGGUGGUUGAUCGCGUCGGAAGUGUAAUCUUGGGGCUUAACCCUGAGCGCGCUUUCGAUACGGGUUGACUUGAGGAAGGUAGGGGAGAAUGGAAUUCCUGGUGGAGCGGUGGAAUGCGCAGAUAUCAGGAGGAACACCAGUGGCGAAGGCGGUUCUCUGGGCCUUUCCUGACGCUGAGGAGCGAAAGCGUGGGGAGCGAACAGGCUUAGAUACCCUGGUAGUCCACGCUGUAAACGGUGGGUACUAGGUGUGGGGUCCAUUCCACGGGUUCCGUGCCGUAGCUAACGCUUUAAGUACCCCGCCUGGGGAGUACGGCCGCAAGGCUAAAACUCAAAGGAAUUGACGGGGCCCCGCACAAGCGGCGGAGCAUGCGGAUUAAUUCGAUGCAACGCGUAGAACCUUACCUGGGUUUGACAUGGAUCGGGAGUGCUCAGAGAUGGGUGUGCCUCUUUUGGGGUCGGUUCACAGGUGGUGCAUGGCUGUCGUCAGCUCGUGUCGUGAGAUGUUGGGUUAAGUCCCGCAACGAGCGCAACCCUUGUUCACUGUUGCCAGCACGUUAUGGUGGGGACUCAGUGGAGACCGCCGGGGUCAACUCGGAGGAAGGUGGGGAUGACGUCAAGUCAUCAUGCCCCUUAUGUCCAGGGCUUCACGCAUGCUACAAUGGCUGGUACAGAGAGUGGCGAGCCUGUGAGGGUGAGCGAAUCUCGGAAAGCCGGUCUCAGUUCGGAUUGGGGUCUGCAACUCGACCUCAUGAAGUCGGAGUCGCUAGUAAUCGCAAAUCAGCAACGCUGCGGUGAAUACGUUCCCGGG
This 1343-nucleotide ribosomal RNA is filed under the name uncultured bacterium. RNAcentral's name for it is "16S ribosomal RNA". It matches the Rfam family "Bacterial small subunit ribosomal RNA", at positions 28 to 1378 of the family's 1533-position model. The record is from RNAcentral.